CUUCCAGUAGCACCUUAGAGACCAACUAAGUUUGUUAUUGGUAUGAGCUUUCGUGUGCACGCACACUUCUUCAGAUAAGCUCAUACCAAUAACAAACUUAGUUGGUCUCUAAGGUGCUACUGGAUG
This 126-nucleotide microRNA precursor is filed under the name Podarcis lilfordi (Lilford's wall lizard). The record is from RNAcentral. Lineage: Eukaryota; Metazoa; Chordata; Lepidosauria; Squamata; Lacertidae.